AGCACACGCCGCCCGCCCUCCUCUCGCUCGCGCGGCUCCCGCCCCGCCGUGUGUGCGCGCGUGUGUGACACCGACAGACCGACACUGCGCCUUCUUUAUCACCCGUGCCCUGCUCUUCUCCCAGGCGCGUGAAACCAAACUCCAGCCAUGAAGGCACCUUCUCACAAUUUCGGAGGAAAAGUAAGGGCGGCGGCUAAGGCCGAAGUAGCUCCAAAUAGAAAUAAAAAUAAACCCCUUGAGGCAGCGCGAGCGCUGGAGCUGCUGCACGCGGUGGUGCCGCACGCGCGCUCCUCCCUGCCUGGCGGUGGCUUGGGCGACCACUCUCCAGGCGCGUGUGUCUCCCGGGGUUAAAAUGCCCAGGGCCCCUCCCGCAGGGCGAAUGAUGGGAAUCUGAGUCCGGACUCCCAAAAGUGAAGGUGGAGCGGUGGCCUGGGGACUCCAAAGGGUGAAGGGCUCCGUGAUUGGCAGUCCUUCCAGAAGGUGGCUGCCACCCCCGGUGGUGGAUAGGACACUGUUGGGAUUCAAAAUCCAGAGGUUAUCGUCCGCGCCUGUAGUCCUGAUCAAAAAACUUCAGAAGGGGAGAGGGCCAAGUCGGCUGGCUCAAAGAGAAGUGACUGGCGCCUGUCCGGAACUGGCUGCAGAAGGGCUGCCCCAGGUGGGUGAAGUCCCCUGGGCGCUGGGCAUCAAAGACAGCACGGUGUUUACCUCACGACUGAACACGCAGGGGAGAGCCAGAAUGGCAGCACCUGUCCUCUGUCGUGGCCAUCUGUGACUCCAGGAGGGGACUGACCCAAGGCUCUGCCAGGACACGCAACACCUACACAGCUACUGUUUCUGUGAUCUGAGAGGGCAUUUUCCUCUGGUGAAAAGCUCAUCGGUAUGGGAAGAAUAUGCUGGCUGGCUUGCUUACCCUAUUGUUCCUUACCUCUUCAGCAUGGAACUAUGGUGGGCUAAACAUAAAUAAAAAUGAAUC
This 973-nucleotide long non-coding RNA is filed under the name Homo sapiens (human). RNAcentral's name for it is "HSALNT0213623". The record is from RNAcentral. Lineage: Eukaryota; Metazoa; Chordata; Mammalia; Primates; Hominidae.